AGAACGAACGCUGGCGGCAUGCCUAACACAUGCAAGUCGAACGCUCAUCUUCGGAUGGGAGUGGCGCACGGGUGAGUAACGCGUGGGAACCUGCCCCGGGGUUCGGGAUAACCGAUGGAAACGUCGGCUAAAUACCGGAUACGUCCUAAGGGAGAAAGAUUUAUCGCCCUGGGAGGGGCCCGCGUCGGAUUAGCUAGUUGGUGGGGUAACGGCCUACCAAGGCGAUGAUCCGUAGCUGGUCUGAGAGGAUGAUCAGCCACACUGGGACUGAGACACGGCCCAGACUCCUACGGGAGGCAGCAGUGGGGAAUAUUGGACAAUGGGCGCAAGCCUGAUCCAGCAAUGCCGCGUGAGUGAUGAAGGCCUUAGGGUUGUAAAGCUCUUUCGGCGGGGACGAUGAUGACGGUACCCGCAGAAGAAGCCCCGGCUAACUUCGUGCCAGCAGCCGC
This 449-nucleotide ribosomal RNA is filed under the name uncultured bacterium. RNAcentral describes it as "SSU rRNA". It matches the Rfam family "Bacterial small subunit ribosomal RNA", at positions 26 to 518 of the family's 1533-position model. The record is from RNAcentral.